ACUCCUACGGGAGGCAGCAGUGGGGAAUCUUGCGCAAUGGGGGAAACCUUGACGCAGCAACGCCGCGUGGGUGAUGAAGGCCUUCGGGUCGUAAAGCCCUGUCAGGUGGGAAGAAACAUAUCGGUGCUAAUAUCACCGAUGUUUGACGGUACCGCCGGAGGAAGCACCGGCUAACUCCGUGCCAGCAGCCGCGGUAAU
RNAcentral lists this ribosomal RNA (198 nucleotides) under uncultured bacterium. RNAcentral describes it as "partial 16S ribosomal RNA". It matches the Rfam family "Bacterial small subunit ribosomal RNA", at positions 335 to 524 of the family's 1533-position model. The record is from RNAcentral.